GCCGAUGUAGCUCAGCUGGCAGAGCGGGGCUUUCGUAAAGCUCAGGUCGUGGGUUCGAAUCCCACCGUCGGCUCCA
RNAcentral lists this transfer RNA (76 nucleotides) under Chloroflexota bacterium. RNAcentral describes it as "Chloroflexi bacterium tRNA-Thr". It matches the Rfam family "tRNA". Rfam says of the family: Transfer RNA (tRNA) molecules are approximately 80 nucleotides in length. Their secondary structure includes four short double-helical elements and three loops (D, anti-codon, and T loops). Lineage: Bacteria; Bacillati; Chloroflexota. The record is from RNAcentral.